GCAUGUCGAGCUGAAUGCGCUCGUAAAACAGAUUCAAACAAACUAACUGCAAACGACGAACGUUUCGCACUCGCUGCUUAAUUGCCAGUGAGCCUUGCAACAGUUGGCCGAUGGGCUGGGCAAGGGGGUGAAGGCGCAAGCUGACACCUCCCGGCUGCAAGGAUAAUUACAUGGGCUGGUUUCGAUCCGGGUGCCUUGGAUCGGAACGAGAAAAUAGGGCACUGGCGUCCGGUUUAGCGUGCGACUGCGCGACUCCGGGAGCGAGAUCUAAAUCAGACCGCUAAACAUGUAGAUCUGUGCGAUGAAGGCUUGCGGACGGGGGUUCAAAUCCCCCCAGCUCCACCA
This 345-nucleotide transfer-messenger RNA is filed under the name Variovorax sp. Its description in RNAcentral is "partial transfer-messenger RNA". It matches the Rfam family "transfer-messenger RNA", at positions 45 to 374 of the family's 374-position model. From Rfam's summary of the family: Bacterial tmRNA, also known as 10Sa RNA or SsrA, is named for its dual tRNA and mRNA-like properties. Its role is to liberate the mRNA from a stalled ribosome. The record is from RNAcentral. Lineage: Bacteria; Pseudomonadati; Pseudomonadota; Betaproteobacteria; Burkholderiales; Comamonadaceae.